RNAcentral lists this ribosomal RNA (301 nucleotides) under uncultured bacterium. Its description in RNAcentral is "partial 16S ribosomal RNA". It matches the Rfam family "Bacterial small subunit ribosomal RNA", at positions 509 to 807 of the family's 1533-position model. The record is from RNAcentral.
CAGUCGCCGCGGUAAUACGGAGGGAGCUAGCGUUGUUCGGAAUUACUGGGCGUAAAGCGCACGUAGGCGGCUAUUCAAGUCAGGGGUGAAAGCCCGGGGCUCAACCCCGGAACUGCCUUUAAGACUGCAUCGCUUGAAUCCAGGAGAGGUGAGUGGAAUUCCGAGUGUAGAGGUGAAAUUCGUAGAUAUUCGGAAGAACACCAGUGGCGAAGGCGGCUCACUGGACUGGUAUUGACGCUGAGGCACGAAAGCGUGGGGAGCAAACAGGAUUAGAUACCCGCGUAGUCCCUGUCUCUUAUAC